CCUACGGGAGGCUGCAGUGAGGAAUCUUGGUCAAUGGACGAAAGUCUGAACCAGCCACGCCGCGUGCACGAAGAAAGCCCUAUGAGUUGUAAACUGCUUUUGUACAAGGGUAAACCUGAAUACGAGUAUUCAGCUGAAAGUACUGUACGAAUAAGGAUCGGCUAACUACGUGCCAGCAGCCGCGGUAAUACUGAGGAGCCAAGCGUUCUCCGGAUUUAUUGGGUGUAAAGGGUGCGUAGGCGGAUUGAUAAGUUAGAGGUGAAAGGUCCGAGCUUAACCCGGGAACUGCCUCUAAUACUGUUGGUCUAGAGAGUAGAUGCGGUAGGCGGAAUGUAUGGUGUAGCGGUGAAAUGCUUAGAUAUCA
This 364-nucleotide ribosomal RNA is filed under the name uncultured bacterium. Its description in RNAcentral is "partial 16S ribosomal RNA". It matches the Rfam family "Bacterial small subunit ribosomal RNA", at positions 338 to 699 of the family's 1533-position model. The record is from RNAcentral.